AUAAUGUUAUCGAACUUUUAUUAUAUUUGUUUUGUUAAAAUACUACGUAUGGUUAUAAAAACAUAGUAAGUAUAAAUAUAUGUAUAUUUCUCAGAAAUCCUUUAAAAAACAGGUAACUUUUCAUGCAUUAUUAUUUUUAAACAUUUUAAUUAUAUGCCAAAUAAAUACAUUUUUAACCAACCUUAGCUUCAAUAACAUAUACACUAAAAAAUUUGUAUAUAAAACAUUUUGCCAUCUGACUUCAAAUUAGCAGGUCUGAACUGAGGAUAAUAUUAAAAUUGACAUUCCAGUUAAUCCAGGAAACAGAGGAGGCCUUAGGUAUUGCAUCAGGAGUUAGGAGAGUCAGAGUUAUAACAAAGAAGAUCGUGUGGCUCCUUUGAAGAAAAAGUGAGAAUAAGCAGCAAGAUUAAAGCCAUAAAAAACUAGAAUAAUGAUUGACUCAAUUUUGAUGAACUGAAAAGGCUAUGGAUAACAAGAGUUCCAGAACUUCCUUUUCUAUGAAGUCCUGUGCCUGCUCAUUGAAAAACAAUGAAUCAGUCUAGACUUGCAAGACGAAAUAAUUCCCUCAAAGCUGGACAUUUAUAUAUUAUUUAUGUAGCAUAUUUCAAUAUUGAUGGUAUAGCCUCAUAUACAGUUGAUUGUAAAACCAUUCUUUCUGUUAGAGUAGGUAGGCAGACAUGAGCAGGGCAGGAGAAGCCCACCCACACAUACCAGGAAUGUCAAGAGAGCAUCAGGUGAUGGUCAGGCAGCUGUUAAACUGCCUCUCUAACAUAAUAAUUGAUUCCAGCUGGUACCGGUGAAAGGCAGUCUCCCAACAGAUAGAAAACACCUGAAGCUGGUGAUCAGCAGCUUUAGAAAACACGGGAAGCUGGUGAUCAGCAGCUUCCAGAUAAGAUCUCAGCACUCUAAGAGACAAGAUGGUGGAAUUUAACUAGUAUAUGACCUUUCUUUAGGAACGCUCAACUGGUAUCCAGAUGCAGAAGUCUUACUUCCUGCUUUUCUAUGACAUCAUCCUUCAGAAGGCGGGGCAUAGGCAAGAACAUGAUAAAGCACUUCUCCUUCCUGCCAUCAUGUGAAGAAGGAUGUGUUUGCUUCCCCUUCUGCCAGGAUUGUACGUUUCCUGAAGCCUCCCCAGCCUGCAGAACGGCAUUCACAUUCACUCACCACUUACUGACUCACCCGGAGCAACUUCCAGCCCUGCAAGCUUCAUUUAUGGUGUUCCUUAUCAAGUUGAGGAAAUUAUCUCUAUUUCUAGUAUUCUCAUUGUGAAUGAGUGUUGGAUUUCAUCAAAUAACUUUUCUGCAUCUACUGAUCUAAUCCUAUGACUUUUUUCUUUAGCCUGUUCAUGUGAAUGAUUACAUUAAUUGAUAUUUUAAUAUAGAACCAUCUUUCCAUAGCUGAAAUUAGUCCCAUUGAUGAGAAAUUGUUUUUUUAAAUAUGGCAAUAAAUGCUAUUGUAUUUAUUUCCCUAUUUUAUUGUUAGCUUAUUUUAUGAUUUUAAAAUGAAUUAAAUUUUAGCAGCCAA
Molecule: long non-coding RNA, 1524 nt
Filed under: Homo sapiens (human)
Lineage: Eukaryota; Metazoa; Chordata; Mammalia; Primates; Hominidae
Description: long non-coding RNA NONHSAT166053.1
Source: RNAcentral